CUCAUUGUGAAGAGGAGCAUCUGGAC
This 26-nucleotide non-coding RNA is filed under the name Rattus norvegicus (Norway rat). Lineage: Eukaryota; Metazoa; Chordata; Mammalia; Rodentia; Muridae. The record is from RNAcentral.